This 240-nucleotide long non-coding RNA is filed under the name Bos taurus (domestic cattle). RNAcentral describes it as "long non-coding RNA NONBTAT019519". Lineage: Eukaryota; Metazoa; Chordata; Mammalia; Artiodactyla; Bovidae. The record is from RNAcentral.
AAAGAGAAUAUUGUCCUAAAAUUAAGACAUAAAUAAGUGUUAGGAAUGACAGUAAUGGGCUGCACUACAUUCUUUUAAAGAACUUAAUGUGUACAACCUAGAGAGGGCCAAAUGCAGAUAUUUCUAAAAUUAUCACAGUAAUUUGAUAUAUUCAGUGGCUAAUAUUCUUGUUUUAGCAUGCACACAUAACUUGGGGAAGUGUGGGCCGGAGGGAUAGAAAAUAAAAAACAUUAAACCAUA